This is a long non-coding RNA of Corapipo altera (White-ruffed manakin), 431 nucleotides long. RefSeq lists it as uncharacterized. Lineage: Eukaryota; Metazoa; Chordata; Aves; Passeriformes; Pipridae. The transcript is spliced from 3 exons. The record is from RefSeq and is a predicted model, not a curated record.
UUGACGUGUUUUGGUUUGGUUUGGUUGAAAGGCUGAACUAGCUUGCCAGAGGGAAUUCAGAGGAAACCAGAACAUUUUCCCAAAGAGAGGAGAAAUAAACUAAUUCCUUAUGAAAGUUGCUGGAUGGACAAGUCCUGGAGGAACUGUAGUGGAUUCCUCUGCCUUUCUUCACUCCUAGGCUGGUCCCCUGCAUGUGUCUCACACAUAAGGAACUUUGGUUGAUCACUAUCCAUCUUUUCUGUUGAGGACAUCUAAGGUUUAACAAAGGAUGUAUUUUCUUUACUCUUCAGUCUGGAUUUCUCUCUUUCAGUGUGAGAAGAUUAAACCUGAAAGACUGUGUGUUGAAGUCCAUGCUUAUAUCACUGUUAAGCUUGCAAAUGGGAAAAUGAGAGAGGCUACUUUUGUCACUCAUGAGCUACAUGUAUUUUGUA